CGUGGACUCACGCGUGAGUUGCUUUUAGAGCGACUUACGCGCGAGGGUAAGGUAAUGGUAAAAUUUCCACAGGACUGCAUUAGACCUGUUGGGAACAAUGUCAGACUGUUUACGUCGGAGGUCGGUCUCUUAUGCCGAUCUCUGAUCCCCCUCACCACCCCCCGUUGGGGAGACAUGACAAAUGAUGUGCAGCAGCUCAUCCGUCAGCGCUUUCAGGAUAAAUUUGACUUGGAUUUGAGUGUUCCGCACAUUUCCUAUGUCGUCGACGACAUGAUCAAGGAACGGUUCAAUGAGUACCACUCCGUGUUACACAAGCGGUGCAUGAGCCACGAGGAGGUCGCACUGUCCGCACUGCCGCACGUGACCGAUGACGACUGGCGGAUACUCUGCUAUUGAUUUUCGUCUGAUUCUUUUGAGUUAAUAUUUACAUAUUUACGAUAUCUUAAGGUAACAAUUAAAUUCGCAAUUAAUAACAAUGUAUUAUGAAUAAUGUGUUCAGAAGAGGAACAAAAUAAAUUCUGACAACAGGGGAAAGUUAGAAGUGAACCACGUAGCUGGUUCAAAGUCAUUUGCAGAAAUUCGUCACAACAUGCGAGAUUCUCUCACUAGCCAGGAGCCUGGACUAGUAGACCUCUACAGAGGGACUCACUGUUGACAGACGACGGGAUCUUGGGUACAUCGUUAAGCCGGCGAGAUUUGGGCGGCGAUGGACACCUUACGCAAUCAGCCCACUCCCGAUGGUACUCAACGGAGUGAGCCAAAGAUCCUAAGUGAGGUGCUUCGCACCCGUUCUGGAUAUGUGCGUGGGCUUGGCCAUGGUGCCAAGCUCAUGGCACCCGCUAGAGCUGCCUCCACCCGAUCCAUCAUCGUUGGCGAGAGCGCCACCCGCCGAGCUGAUAUCGCAGAGAAAGAGGUUCAGUACCUACGGGUCGUCGUCCAUGACAUCAAAGAGCAGCUGGAGAAGAAGAGUGAGUAGCUGGAGAGGCAGAUGGAGGAGCAGGAGAGGAGGAUGGAGGAUCUGACGAGGCAGAGGGAGGAGCAGGAGAGGAGGAGGAUGGAGGAGCAGGCGAGGGGGAGAGAGGAGCAGGAGAGGAGGAUGGAGGAGAUGCGGUGGAGCAUGAGCGACGGAUGAAGGAAAUGUUUCAAGCUCUCACUGCACGCUUACCCAUUGAUGCUCCACCACCUCUGCCUUCAUCUUUGUGAUUUUUUAUAUUUUAUUUAUGAUGUUAAACUUAUAUGUAUUUAUGUGCGAAUGAAUGUCAUGUUAAUGGAUGUAGUUUAUAUUUAGAUGGAUU
This is a long non-coding RNA of Magnolia sinica, 1295 nucleotides long. RefSeq lists it as uncharacterized. The transcript has 4 exons. Lineage: Eukaryota; Viridiplantae; Streptophyta; Magnoliopsida; Magnoliales; Magnoliaceae. The record is from RefSeq and is a predicted model, not a curated record.